RNAcentral lists this long non-coding RNA (283 nucleotides) under Prunus persica (peach). RNAcentral describes it as "long non-coding RNA (PPER_LNC008485)". The record is from RNAcentral. Lineage: Eukaryota; Viridiplantae; Streptophyta; Magnoliopsida; Rosales; Rosaceae.
CGCCUAGCAAGUGUGCGGCUGCUCUUUUUUUUUUUUAGUGAGUAGUAGAGCCGUGCGUCUAUACUCGAUUAUUUUCUAAUUUUUAAAAAGAGUAUAGCCGGACGGCUUUACUUGGUUUUUUAAUUUUUAUUUUUAAAUAGGACCGCCGCGCGGCUAUAAUAUUUUUUUACACGUGGCCCCUAAUCCCACUGCGAAGCCUUUUUUAUAAAUAGUAUAGCCGCACGGCUAUACUUGGAAUUUUUUUUCCCCAAAAUAGUAUAGCCGUUCGGCUAUACUGGCCUUG